Callithrix jacchus (white-tufted-ear marmoset) is the source of this 101-nucleotide Y RNA. It matches the Rfam family "Y RNA". Rfam says of the family: Y RNAs are components of the Ro ribonucleoprotein particle (Ro RNP), in association with Ro60 and La proteins. The record is from Ensembl. NCBI's taxonomy places the organism in Eukaryota, Metazoa, Chordata, Mammalia, Primates, Cebidae.
GGCUGGUCCAAGUGCAGUGGUGUUUACAACUCUUCGAUCAUAAUCAGCUACAGAUCUCUCUGUUCUUUCUCUAUUACCACUGCUUCGCUGACCAGCCUUUA